GGGUGAGUAACGCGUAGGUAACCUGCCUACUAGCGGGGGAUAACUAUUGGAAACGAUAGCUAAUACCGCAUAACAGCUUUUAACUCAUGUUAGGAGCUUGAAAGAUGCAAUUGCAUCACUAGUAGAUGGACCUGCGUUGUAUUAGCUAGUUGGUGAGGUAACGGCUCACCAAGGCGACGAUACAUAGCCGACCUGAGAGGGUGAUCGGCCACACUGGGACUGAGACACGGCCCAGACUCCUACGGGAGGCAGCAGUAGGGAAUCUUCGGCAAUGGGGGCAACCCUGACCGAGCAACGCCGCGUGAGUGAAGAAGGUUUUCGGAUCGUAAAGCUCUGUUGUAAGAGAAGAACGUGUGUGAGAGUGGAAAGUUCACACAGUGACGGUAACUUACCAGAAAGGGACGGCUAACUACGUGCCAGCAGCCGCGGUAAUACGUAGGUCCCGAGCGUUGUCCGGAUUUAUUGGGCGUAAAGCGAGCGCAGGCGGUUUAAUAAGUCUGAAGUUAAAGGCAGUGGCUUAACCAUUGUUCGCUUUGGAAACUGUUAGACUUGAGUGCAGAAGGGGAGAGUGGAAUUCCAUGUGUAGCGGUGAAAUGCGUAGAUAUAUGGAGGAACACCGG
This 620-nucleotide ribosomal RNA is filed under the name uncultured Streptococcus sp. Its description in RNAcentral is "bacterial SSU rRNA". It matches the Rfam family "Bacterial small subunit ribosomal RNA", at positions 104 to 712 of the family's 1533-position model. The record is from RNAcentral. Lineage: Bacteria; Bacillati; Bacillota; Bacilli; Lactobacillales; Streptococcaceae.